This 73-nucleotide transfer RNA is filed under the name Gemmatimonadota bacterium. Its description in RNAcentral is "Gemmatimonadetes bacterium tRNA-Gly". It matches the Rfam family "tRNA". Rfam says of the family: Transfer RNA (tRNA) molecules are approximately 80 nucleotides in length. Their secondary structure includes four short double-helical elements and three loops (D, anti-codon, and T loops). The record is from RNAcentral. Lineage: Bacteria; Pseudomonadati; Gemmatimonadota. RNAcentral also lists the same sequence under 2 other names.
GCGGGCGUAGCUCAGUUGGUAGAGCAUCAGCUUCCCAAGCUGAGGGUCGCCAGUUCGAACCUGGUCGCCCGCU